RNAcentral lists this long non-coding RNA (2713 nucleotides) under Homo sapiens (human). Its description in RNAcentral is "non-protein coding LINC00964:3". Lineage: Eukaryota; Metazoa; Chordata; Mammalia; Primates; Hominidae. The record is from RNAcentral.
GGCCAAGUUCCCAGAUAAAAAUGAGCAGAAGAGAGAGAGGAAACUUCUGGGUCACGCUUGUCAAAGAAAAAGGCAUUUCUUCCGUUCCACUUCCUCUUCCCACCCUGCUGCUGGAAUUCUGAUGUGCUCGUGUCCAUCUUCAACCACACAGGUGAAGGAUCUAAAACCUGAAAAGAGGCCAAAUGAUUCCUCAAAACCACGCAAGUACGAAGUAGCAGAGCGGAUCUCAAAUCCAGGUUGGUUUCCUUUUUACAACUGCCCAAGUCAUGAGUUCAUAGGGCCUGGAUGGCUGUACCGGAUUGCUCUCCAGCUGGUCUCUCUGCAUCCAGAAAUUUCUACAACCUACUGGGGUAAAAUCUUUCUCAACCCUGCUUUUCAUCAUCACAUCUUAAAUAUCUCGAGUUGGUUCCCUAUUGCCAAAAAAAAUCCAUUGUCCAUGUAGGGUUCUUCUGCCGAAACGAGGAAAGAGUGAGUUAAAUGUUGGUAGGUGAUAUAGAGAUAGUAAUUAGGCAAUAUAAUUCGAUGUUGUUGAAAGAGCUGAGCUAUGAAAUGCAUUGUGAUAAAGGGGCUGCCUGUGUAAGUAAAUGGGUAUAAUGAGGUGUAAAACUCCCUUUCUCUCUCUCUUUCUGCUUCAUAAGCCUUUCUGCUUCUCAAGUCCAGACCUGCUGUUUUUGGGGUUUCCUUCCAAUUUUUUUGCUGCUUCCCUGGGGCCUUGGCUCUUGGGCCUGCUGCCUCUUCCCACUCUACACCUUUGGAUUCCUUAUCUUUGGCUCCACCUUAUUGCUCCAUUCUCCAAAGACAAAUCCACAAGGCAUAGGAUUUUACAGAAUAUGGGGUUACAGAAACAGCAUAGGGAAGUGUAAAAGCCUAGAAGCUUCUUACAGACGCAGCCCCUUGUCUGUAGCUCCUGACUCCCACUUAAAUGUCUGUUGGAAGCACCCUGGGGUAGCAGAACCCAGCUCAGAAGAUGGGGCUUAUCCACCAUGCCUUUUCCUAACCUGACACCCACCCAGAUAAUCUUUUCAAUAUGCAAACUAGAGCGUAUCACCCCCUGCUCAGAGCCUUUCUGUGACCUCCCAUUUUGCUUCCCAGGACUCCUUGCUCCUUAGCCAGGUCUCCAGGUCCUCCGUGAUCAGGUCUCUGCUCUUCUGCAGCCUCAUCUCUGCCAUUCUUCACCUUUUGUGCUCCAACCCAAUCUGGUUUUCUUCUCAUGCUUUGAACACCCCAAGUCUGUCUGCUUCAGGAGCUUCGUACUGGCUAAUCAUUCACCACAGCAUACUCCCAUCUAUACGGCUGGCUCUUAUAUUAUGGGUCUCAGCUAAAAUGUCAUCCCUUCAAAGAGACCUUCUUGGACCACCCCCGCCAUUCUCUAUCCUAUUUCUCUCUUUUAUUUUCUUUGAAGCACUUACCCACUUUCAGAAACUAUCUGGCUUGCUCAUGUGUUUGUCUCUAGAUUGUCUACUUCCCCUCCUAGACUGUACUCUCCACAAGAGAGCAAAGCUGUGUCUGUUGCAUUCACUGUUGUCUUCCCAGAAGCAAGCAGCAUGCUGGAGACCCUCAAAUACAUGUGAAAUGAAGGGACACCUUGUGUUAUUUCACCUGUUUCCACCUGGUUCCCAAGUGGCAAGCUUGCAUUGAGGUUACAAAGUGGCAAAGCUGGGAUAUCACAUGAUGUCACCAUGAUGCUAUAUGAAAUGUAACAUUAAUUGAGUACCUAUGUGACCAGUUCUUUAAUUCUGUAAGUGAACUCUCAAAAAACCCUAGGUAAGUAUUAUCAACUCGAACUUUAACGGAUGAGGAAACUGGAAUUUUUUAAAAAAUGACUUAACCAAACAUCACAGAGCUGUAAACCAGGAUUUGAAUGGGUGAGCUGCACUCAGCCUUCAUCUCAAGUCAGUUUGCCUCUUUCUCCAAGAAGCCACAGUUGAUCCUGACCACAUCACAUAUGAGUUGCCUGGAUUGCAGUCAUUCAUUCACUAAGCAUCUUUUAGGAGGUCACAUGCCAGGCACCGUGUUAGGUAAUGAUUUCUCCAAGUCACAGGAGCCGUGGUUCUGACUUUAGAAAGUUUCUCAUCUGAUGGGAGGGCAGGCAAGUAAAUCAGUAAGGGUGGUCCCUGUCGGGACACUGGUUGAGAAAUACCCAGGAACACUCUGAUUGAGAAAUACCCAAAGUGCAAAGUGACAGGGACUAGAGGCAUCUCCACUGGACCAGAGAGCUCUGGAUUCGUCUUGAGCUAAGUCUCUGGAGGUAGGUGUCAGCUACAAGGAGAAAAGCUGUAUAUUUUGAGAUAUGGGAUGCAGGGCCUUUUAGUUCCAUAAAUAAGAGAACUAUGGUGUGAAUACCACAUGCCCUGGGCUGAACUAAGUGGGCUCUAGGGGAAGGUAUACUGGGCAGGGAGUUUGGAGAACUGGUUUCUGUCUAAUCCUUCUCUAACUCUGUGACCUUGAAUGCAUCAUUUCCCCUCUGAGUCUCAGAUUCUCUUUCUGGCUGGCAUUUAAUGAAACCUAAAUAUUCUAGACCUUCUACUUGUUCCAUAAGUGCUCAGUCCUACACUCACUCUCCUCUGGCACCAAUAUACUGAUUACUCAUUUUAUGCCCAGCAGAGCACUGCGUGUUUUGAAAUAUACAAAUAGUGGGAAACGAAAUCUUUGUUCUGGAUGCAGUUAUAAUUUGGAAAGCGAGGAAAUAAAUUAUAACAAGGGGAAAAAACAG